CAAAGGGGUACUCCACACCAUAUGAUGUCAUGCUUAGCAAUAACAGCUGGGGGAAAGAAGGAAGAAGGGGGGGAUGAGUGGUAAUGUUUAUCUUCACAAGUAGCUAUUAUGUGUGUUGGAGCCCUGCUCUGCUGGAAGCAGCUGAAUAUCUAUCUGCCGAUGGGAAAUAGAGAAUGAAUUCCCUGUUCUUCCUUGCACACACAUAUUUAUCUUUACUAUUACACUGUCUUUAUCUGGACCCACAAGUAUUCUCACUUUUACCCUUCUAAUUCUACUUUUUCUCCUCCUUCCCCCCUCCUCAUUUCAACUGGGAGAGAGUGUGAGAGCAGCUGUGUGGUGCUUAGCUGCCUACUGGGGGAAACCUGGAAAACAGCAAUGUAGGCAUGUAACCAAAUUAAAGCCAAACUUUCAGCCCAGUCCUUGACCUGACUAGUGAGUGAGGAUCCAGAUCCUGGCAUUUAUACUUGAUAGUUUUACGCAGC
Molecule: long non-coding RNA, 482 nt
Organism: Oxyura jamaicensis (ruddy duck)
Lineage: Eukaryota; Metazoa; Chordata; Aves; Anseriformes; Anatidae
Exons: 3
Source: RefSeq, a predicted model, not a curated record